Molecule: ribosomal RNA, 502 nt
Filed under: uncultured bacterium
Lineage: Bacteria
Description: bacterial SSU rRNA
Rfam family: Bacterial small subunit ribosomal RNA
Source: RNAcentral
AGAGUUUGAUUAUGGCUCAGGAUGAACGCUGGCGGCGUGCCUAACACAUGCAAGUCGAACGGAGUGUUGAGAGCUUGCUUUUGACACUUAGUGGCGGACGGGUGAGUAAUGCGUGAGCAACCUGCCUUUCAGAGGGGGACAACAGUUGGAAACGACCGCUAAUACCGCAUAAUGUAUCGUGAGGGCAUCCUCGUGAUACCAAAGGAGCAAUCCGCUGAAAGAUGGGCUCACGUCUGAUUAGCUAGUUGGUGGGGUAACGGCUCACCAAGGCUGCGAUCAGUAGCCGGACUGAGAGGUUGAACGGCCACAUUGGGACUGAGAUACGGCCCAGACUCCUACGGGAGGCAGCAGUGGGGAAUAUUGGGCAAUGGGCGAAAAAGCCUGACCCAGCAACGCCGCGUGAAGGAAGAAGGUCUUCGGAUUGUAAACUUCUUUUAUGAGGGACGAAGGACGUGACGGUACCUCAUGAAUAAGCCACGGCUAACUACGUGCCAGCCGCCGC